GUGAAUCAUCGAAUCUUUGAACGCAACUUGCGCUCCUUGGUAUUCCAUGGAGCAUGCCCGUUUAGUGUCACGAUAACCCUCAUUAUGUGAUUUUAAUGAUCACAUGAAUGGAUUUGGGUGUUGCCGUAACCGGCUCACCUUGAAAUGAAUUAAGCUUUUGCGCCCCAUUAGCGUGCUCGGUGUGAUAAUUAUCAUUCGCCUUAGGCCGCUUCCAGUGACGCUGCUUCUAAUGGUCCCUUGUGGACAACAAAUCUAAAGCAUUGGCCUCAAAUCGGGUAGGACUACCCGCUGAACUUAAGCAUAUCAAUAAGGCGAGG
RNAcentral lists this ribosomal RNA (317 nucleotides) under uncultured fungus. RNAcentral describes it as "eukaryotic LSU rRNA". The stretch from base 1 to 70 matches the Rfam family "5.8S ribosomal RNA", at positions 84 to 154 of the family's 154-position model. Lineage: Eukaryota; Fungi. The record is from RNAcentral.